UUAAACAUGGACUGUCUGAUGUAUUUCUCAGGUUUCUGCUCUUAGUGAGUUAUUUUGGGUGCAGUCUGAGAUAUUUUUAAAGAUGCAUAUUGUUACUGAGAAUUUCUGAGGAAACACGCCUGAAUUGUGUUCCCAGAUACAAGGAGAUAAUUUAAUGAGAAGACAGUGAAGUCCCUAUAGGAAAAAAUACCACUGCUGUUUGUAUUUUAACAAUAUUUUAAAAAUUGUAGCUACCACAAUAAUUUUAGUUGCUUUAGAGAGCCAUAUGAUACUGGCCUUUAAAUACUAGAACAACUACUAAUAUGACAGACAAUUGAAAUCUCAGUAUCUGUGCACAUUCUAUCAUACAAACUAGAAAGUUUAGGGAGAGAGGGAGAACCCCUGAAAUUUGAUGAUUUUGAAAAUGAGUUCUAUGGCACCAGAAAUAUUUAAUAUCCAAACUGAAGUCUCUUCAAAAAGGAGUCCAUGAGAGCAUUCAUUAUGGCAACCUAGGCUGCGUGCACUGGACUCAUAAAUAAAGCACUUUCACUUUCCUGUACUGAAGACAGUGAAUAUUAUAGAGCCAUUUAUAGCUCUUAAUCAGAGCCUUGUGGGAGGGGGGAAGGUAAAUUGUAUGAGUGGCAGUGACUGGAAUCAUCAAGUGCCCAUGGAAGCCCACAGUCAGCAUGAUGCCUCCAGGUGUACCAGGAGAAACUCACUCCCCUUUAGAAAAAGUGUAGCAUGAACUCCCUGCAGACAUUUACCAGUGCAGAGGGUUGUUGUAAUUUCUUCAUCCAGUCCAGAUAUGCUCCUUGUGCAGCACGGAACACAAGCAGCAGUGCUACCAACCCAUUCCCUCACUGCACUUUACUGUGGAGCAGCCAUAAUUUAGUUAGCCCACAAUAUUUAGUGUACUUCAAAUGGAGAUGGCCAAACUGGAUCAAAAAGAAACAAGAACAAGCCCGAAUCUUUGCCCAUUGCUCAGAAAUCUUUUUCACAAUUGAAUCAAUUUUGAAAAGUACCACUUUCUGUAAUACUUUCCUUUCCUUGUGCAGUGGACUUCUGGACAGUGGACCUCUGGUUUCCUCUCCCUCAUCAAAGUCUCUUCUCCCGUCACAACCUGCAACUUUCCAACUGGUCUCAGUUCCCUCACUCAGACUCUAAUUCAGCAAAACAUCUAUGCCUGUGCUUAACUUAAAGCAUAUGAGUUAUCCCAAAGAAUCCUUUUAUGCUAGUCCAGCCAUGCCCAAGGGCAAUCUUUGGUGCUGGAACUAUGACUCAAAUGGUACAUGUUAUAUAUGUAGAAGGAAAUAUACAUGCAUAGGAAAGGUAUAUAACAAUUUGUCCAUUCAUGAAUUUCAAGGAAGAUAAAUAAUAGUCUGUCUUCUUAGUCCAAUAUUUUGAAAGAAUAUCUUUCCAUUUCAGCCAGCAUCUGGCCACUUACUCCAUUACACUAGUAACUGAUUUAUGAAAUGUAUUUUGAUUUCCACAGCAGCUUUUACAACAUUUCCACGUUUUUAUUUUAUGCACAUAUUAACAAAAUAGAUAUUGAUUCAUUAAC
RNAcentral lists this long non-coding RNA (1540 nucleotides) under Chrysemys picta bellii (western painted turtle). RNAcentral describes it as "lncRNA (ENSCPBG00000021885.1)". The record is from RNAcentral. Lineage: Eukaryota; Metazoa; Chordata; Testudines; Emydidae.